AUUUUGAACAAUUGUUUGAUGUUGAUUAGUUGCUAAUGGAGAAGAUUUGAGAGCACAAAGAGUAACCUCAUUAAUUCAUACCUAUAAUUCCAUUUAGUGAAAGUAUUGGGUCAGACCGUCUGACCAUUGCUUGCUGUUAGACGGGCUGAGCCCAAAACUCAAACGCCGACGCUGAUGAGAGGAAAGUUCAGAUUGGGCUUUGUUAACGCAACCCAAUACCACAUGCGUCUUAGAUCGAAACCCAAUUGCAGCAGAACCUUGCUUCACUGCCUCCAUGGCGUAUUCUACCUGAAACAGUCGUCGUGCGGGACUUCGAAACACAAAAAAAAAACCAUAAUAUUCCUCGAAAUCAUCAAAACACAUCCUCGUGAUGGAUGUUUCUUAGAUGAUCAUCAUAAUAUGUCAAGUAUUUCCUGGACCUCGACGAUUUGUCAACAUUCUUUCAUCAGAAUCAAGCAAAACUUUGCUUCCGAAGCAGGUUGUGGAGGAUUUGAAAGUCAAGGUAUUUGUGUUUUUGGGAAGUUGUUCGUAUUUCGAUUUUUUUAGAUUACAUCGUAAGUAUUCAUAUUUUAAAUGUACAGAUAUAAUGACUCAGCUGUGACAUUGUAACUGAAUGAUUUAGUUACUUUCAUUUCGAAAAAAAUUACUUUCAUUUAGACCUAA
Long non-coding RNA from Beta vulgaris subsp. vulgaris (sugar beet), 663 nucleotides. RefSeq lists it as uncharacterized. The record is from RefSeq and is a predicted model, not a curated record. The transcript is spliced from 2 exons. NCBI's taxonomy places the organism in Eukaryota, Viridiplantae, Streptophyta, Magnoliopsida, Caryophyllales, Amaranthaceae.